GUCAUAAAAGAAGGAUUUAGGCUACAUCCAGUUGCACCCUUGUUACUUCCGCAUGAGUCAAUUGAAGAUUGCACACUUGAUGGAUUUCAAAUGCCUAAAGGAUCUCGAGUUUUGGUUAAUGUUUGGGCAAUUGGAAGAGAUCCAGAUGUUUGGCGUGAGCCUGAAAAGUUCAUACCAGAGAGGUUUGUUGAAAGUACUAUUGAUGUUCGGGGACAAAAUUUUCAACUAUUACCAUUUGGUUCUGGCAGAAGAAGUUGUCCUGGUUUGCAAUUAGGGCUUACCAUUGUUCGUUUGGUGGUAGCUCAAUUAGUUCACUCCUUUGAUUGGGAGUUACCAAAUGGUAUGAUGCCAAAUGAUAUUAACAUGACUGAGAAAUUUGGUUUGGUAACAGCUAGAGCUCUACCCCUAAUGGCUAUUCCUAUUUA
This 425-nucleotide unclassified non-coding RNA is filed under the name Hevea brasiliensis (rubber tree). The record is from RNAcentral. Lineage: Eukaryota; Viridiplantae; Streptophyta; Magnoliopsida; Malpighiales; Euphorbiaceae.